AACGUAGGAGGCGAGCGUUAUCCGGAUUUACUGGGCGUAAAGGGUGUGCAGGCGGGUCGUUAAGUAGUGCAUGAAAGCCACAGGCUCAACCUGUGGAGGAUGUGCUAGACUGGCGGCAUAGAGUGUGUGAGAGGGAUGUGGAAUUCCGGGUGUAGUGGUGAAAUGCGUAGAGAUCCGGAGGAACACCAGAGGCGAAGGCGGCAUCCUGGCACACAACUGACGCUGAGACACGACAGCAUGGGGAGCGAACGGG
RNAcentral lists this ribosomal RNA (253 nucleotides) under uncultured bacterium. RNAcentral describes it as "partial 16S ribosomal RNA". It matches the Rfam family "Bacterial small subunit ribosomal RNA", at positions 524 to 776 of the family's 1533-position model. The record is from RNAcentral.